Molecule: long non-coding RNA, 460 nt
Organism: Erinaceus europaeus (western European hedgehog)
Lineage: Eukaryota; Metazoa; Chordata; Mammalia; Eulipotyphla; Erinaceidae
Exons: 3
Source: RefSeq, a predicted model, not a curated record
ACCUGUCAUCAAACCUUUGACUGUGGGUCAAAACUAUCAGGAGACAGAGGAAGAAGGGGGAGGAAGCAGCAGCAGAGCUGGAACUCAGAGCAAAGAGCUGAGCUGAGCUGAGCUGAACAGGACACAUGAGAGCUGGACCAGCAAGGAGAAAAACAAUGACAGGAGAUUUUCAGGGAGCAGGAGGUGAGCUCACAACACCAGGAGCUGGGUUCCAGGUCAAGCAGGAUGAGACCUGGGCUCAUUUGGUCUGCUGCUUCCGGGGUCAUGACUUCCUGAAUGAGCCACCAGGUUGCUAGCAUGAUGCCAACCGAACUUCCUUGGGCAGAUGACCCCACCAAUGUGUCCUGGAGCUCUGCUUCCCCAGAGCCCUGCCCCACUAUAGAAAGAGAGAGGCAGGCUGGGAAUAUAUGACUUGUCAAAGCCCAUGUUCAGCGGGGAAGCAAUUACAGAAGCCAGACCC